CUCAGUAACACGUGGAUAACCUGCCCUUAGGACUGGCAUAACCCCGGGAAACUGGGGAUAAUUCCGGAUAGUUCAUGGUAGCUGGAAUGCUCCAUGAUCGAAAGCUAUUGCGCCUAAGGAUGGGUCUGCGGUCUAUCAGGUAGUAGUGGGUGUAAUGUACCUACUAGCCGACGACGGAUACGGGUUGUGGGAGCAAGAGCCCGGAGAUGGAUUCUGAGACAUGAAUCCAGGCCCUACGGGGCGCAGCAGGCGCGAAAACUUUACAAUGCGGGAAACCGCGAUAAGGGGACACCGAGUGCCAGCAUCUUAUGUUGGCUGUCCGCAUGUAUAAAUCACAUGUGUUAGCAAGGGCCGGGCAAGACCGGUGCCAGCCGCCGCGGUAACACCGGCGGCCCGAGUGGUGGCCACUAUUAUUGGGUCUAAAGGGUCCGUAGCCGGUUUGGUCAGUCUUCCGGGAAAUCUGACGGCUUAACCGUUAGGCUUUCGGGGGAUACUACCA
RNAcentral lists this ribosomal RNA (499 nucleotides) under uncultured archaeon. RNAcentral describes it as "bacterial SSU rRNA". It matches the Rfam family "Archaeal small subunit ribosomal RNA", at positions 89 to 589 of the family's 1478-position model. The record is from RNAcentral.